Uloborus diversus is the source of this 507-nucleotide long non-coding RNA. RefSeq lists it as uncharacterized. The record is from RefSeq and is a predicted model, not a curated record. The transcript has 3 exons. Lineage: Eukaryota; Metazoa; Arthropoda; Arachnida; Araneae; Uloboridae.
CUCUAUAAACUGCACAACUUUUCAGAAGUAAACAAUAGGUUUUUAAGUUUAAAAAAUUCCUUUGUUUUGCCUUGCUAACAUAAAAAUUGUUAGGAAAAUUAAAUUUUGAAACAGUUUUUCAUCUUUCCAGCUUAAUUCAAAGCUUUUAAAUGAAAAUUAAUAUUCACAGUAAAGAGAAAAUAUCAGAUGGCUCUUGAAAAUGCAGCUGUUAAUGCAAACCAUGAAGCUGACAGAAGUGCAGAAUAAUUCUCUCCCUUUUAAUGAGAUUGUGAAUGGAGAUUACAAAUAAGAAUGCCUGUAGUGAUGACCAUUCUUUACAUGUUGUGGAGGAAGUUCUGCUGAUGAUUACGCUAUUUCUAAUUAAGUGGCGUUGUUAAUUGGAAACUGACUUGAAGAAAGGGAAAAGAAAUGUGAUAAAGAUGACAGCUAUUAAAAAUUACUGUUUUGUACUUUUGAUUGUUGCUCACUUUUAACUCUUAAUUGUUAUAAAAAAAUUGAACAAAAAUU